CCCGGCGCUAGCGCGGAGGCGGUGCCGGGCGCGGCGCAGAGCGGAGGAUGCUGCGGGCGGGGGCCGCCGCCGCCAGCCCCGGUCCCGGUGCCGGUGCCGGUCCCGGGCGGGAGGGCACCCCGCCGCAUCUCGCCCGCUGAGCCUCGGCCCGGCCAUGGGGGCUCUGACCAGCCGGCAAAACGCAGGGGUGGAGGAAGUGGAUAUCCCCGCUAAUUCCGUCUACAGAUACCCCCCGAAAUCCGGGAGCUACUUUGCCAACCACUUCAUCAUGGGCGGCGAGAAGUUUGACUCCACGCACCCCGAGGGUUACCUCUUCGGCGAGAACAGCGACCUCAACUUCCUGGGGAACCGGCCUGUGGUGCUGCAACAGGAGAUUCUGCAGUUCCCUUACGCUGCUCCACCUCCUCAGGAACCCGUGAAGACCCUCAGGAGCUUAAUCAACAUCCGCAAGGACACCCUGCGCCUUGUCAAGUGCUCGGAGGAGGUGAAGACCCCAGGGGAAGAAGUCAGCAAAGCCAAGGUGCACUACAACGUGGAGUUCACCUUCGACACGGAUGCCCGUGUAGCCAUAACCAUCUACUACCAGGCGAGCGAGGAGUUUCACAACGGGGUGGCGAGCUACAUCCCCAGGGACAACAGCCUGCAGUCGGAGACGGUGCACUACAAGCGGGGGGUGUGCCAGCAGUUCUGCGUGCCCUCCCACACCGUCGACCCCUCUGAGUGGAGCGAGGAAGAGCUGGGCUUCGACCUGGACCGAGAGGUGUACCCCAUGGUGGUGCACGCGGUGGUGGAUGAAGGAGAGGAGCACACCGGGCACUGCCACGUGCUGCUGGCCACCUUUGAGAAGCACAGCGACGGCACCUUCUGCGUGAAGCCCCUCAAGCAAAAGCAAGUGGUGGACGGUGUGAGCUACUUGCUGCAGGAGAUCUACGGCAUCGAGAACAAGUACAACACGCAGGACUCCAAGGUGGCUGAGGACGAGGUGAGCGAUAACAGCGCCGAGUGUGUCGUCUGCCUCUCGGAUGUCCGGGACACCCUCAUCCUGCCCUGCCGCCACCUCUGCCUCUGCAACACCUGCGCCGACACCCUGCGCUACCAGGCCAACAACUGCCCCAUCUGCAGGCUGCCUUUCCGGGCCUUGCUUCAAAUCCGAGCCAUGAGGAAAAAGCUGGGUCCCCUCUCGCCCACCAGCUUCAACCCCAUCAUCGCCUCGCAGACCUCUGACUCCGAGGAGCACUCGUCCUCAGAGAACAUCCCCCCGGGCUACGAGGUGGUGUCUCUGCUGGAGGCUCUCAACGGGCCGCUGACGCCGUCGCCGGCCGCCCUGCCGCUGCGCGGGCUGGGGGACCCCCCGGGCGCGGGGACCCUGCCCUCCUACGGCAGCGACGGCCCCCUGCCCGCCCUGCGGGCCCUCUCGCCCCUCGAGCGCCUCCCCGACUGCGGCCCCCCGGGGCUGAAGCUGAAGAAAAGCCUCUCCAAGUCCAUCUCGCAGAAUUCCUCCAUCCUGCCUGAAGAGGAGGACGAGAAGUCGUGCACCGAAUCGGAGCUGAGGGUCUCCAGGAAGAGAUCCCCUGCCCGGUGUGAGGAGGAAUGCGGCGCGACGCCGGAGAGCGAAAACCUGACCCUGUCGUCGUCAGGAGCCAUCGAUCAGUCCUCGUGCACCGGGACCCCCCUCUCCUCCACCAUCUCGUCCCCGGAAGCUGGUGCUGUGCUGCCACUCCCACCAGUGGGCCGGGGGGGUCCAUUGGCUCCGCUCAGCCCCUGCUCUCCCCCAGAGCCCGUCAGCAGCAGCCUGGCUCAGUCCGUCAUGUCCAUGGCCUCCUCCCAGAGCCAGCACUCCCAGCUCAGCACCGACACCGUGUCCUCCAUGUCUGGCUCCUACGUCGCUCCCGGCACGGAGGAGGAGGAGGAGGAGGAGGGGGACAUGAUCCCCUCACCCGUGGCCGCCAGCGCCACAGCCUCUGAUGGAGAGUCAACACCUGUGGAGUCCCUGGAUAUAAACUUCGUCAGCAUCUCUGCCGAGGAGCGUGAUGCCGAGGGCAACGACAUGCUGGAGGAUGAGGACACCUCUCCCACGCAGGAAGACGGCCCGAGGACAGGCGCUUUCCUCGGUCUGAGGUGUGACAAUAACAAUGACUUGGGCAUCGCACACGUGAAAGCGCUGGACAAUAAACUGUGCUCUGAGGCCUGCUUACCUGGCUCCUCCGUCCGCGUGAAAGUUCAUGUUCGCUCUGUGCCAACACGGUUUUCUCAACCCACGCUUGUGUCCCCUCCCUGCCCAGAGCUGCCCAAAGGUGACAAAUGUAUUGGUGACCCCCGGUCCCAAGGGCCAAGGGGGGAGCUGGCUGGGGACCCUGCCCAGUGCUGCCAGCUCCUCUUCAUCUGCCCGUGUUGGGGAGAAACAGGGCAAAAAGCCACGAUGAAUCCCUCUGAGGGUCCAGGUCUGCAUCAAUACAUUUGUGAACAAGCUGAAAGCAACUCUGCCCCUGUCUUGGCCCUUUGGCUAAAUUUGUGGCAGGUCCCAGACCCGCAGCGGGUGCUGGAGAGCCAAGAGGGUGGGUGAAACCCACCAGUGGGAGGGGAAAUCCUUUCUUCCCCCUUCCUCCUCCAGGAAAGCUUCCCCUCCUGCUGCCUUGCCUGUUCCUGGUGGUUUCUGCACUGCAGAAACACGGCUGAGGCUCUUGGGGAGGAACAGGCGCCUGCCACAAAUGCCCCGUGUCCCCUCCAUCACCCUCCGGCAGCAGCUGACAGCCCCACCAGCCCGGAGGGACUGGGGAAGGGGCUGGGGGGUCCCAGCAAUGCCUCUGCCUUUGCUGGGGGUCCCAGCAAAGCAUCCCCCGGCUGCGGCACCAGCCAAAGCUGUCCCUGACUGCAUCCCCCUUGGUUGUGCCAGGGCGAGGAUGAGGAAGGGAGAGCUUUGCAGCCCAAACGGCCCUGCCAUGGGGUCAAAUUCUUGCUGUGCUGUGAGGACUGCAACGGCCUCAUCCCCUGCCUAGGCUGGGGUGCAGAAUCUGGCCCCUGGGCCGAGCCCAGCCGAGGAUGCUCUCUCCAUCCUUUGGCCACCACAUCUGUCCGUGUGUCCGGCAGCUGCACUGCUGGGAGCCACGCUGCCGCCCGCAUGAGAGGGGGCGAUCCGGCCUCGGCAUUUGCUGGGAAGAGCAGGGGGCUGCCGCUUGCACGGGGGGCAGAGGAGGUGCAGAGUGGGGGCUUUGGGGCUGCCCGUGGUCCCCUGGGGAUGGCAGAGGGACCAGAGGAAAUAACUCUGGGGAUGCAGAGCUCUGCCCUAAAGGGGUUGGAGGAAGAUUGUCCUGGGGUGUCCUAGGGUGCUGGGAAGAGCCUGAGGGGCCAGGGGGGUGAAGGCCAGUUGGUCGUUUUGUGGUUGCAGUUGGUGUUUUGCAACAUUGGUUUUAUUCAUGAGACUCAGGGCAGCUCUUUCCUUCCCCAGCCCUGUCUGCUCCCCAUCAGCAUCCACCCGCUAUCCGGACUCGGCCGCUUUGCGACAGAGUCGAUUUGAGGCACGAUUUGAUACUGGUGGUGCUGGACUGCAAUCGCAGGGCUGGUUUGCAUGCACUGAAAAAGUCCUUUUUGGCAAAGGUUUCUUGCAGAUCUGGGUGUAACCACAUCCACGGGGCCGGCAAGAACAGGGUGGACUUUUACUUAAGGGUCAGGUGCAGUUUUCUUGAAAGCUAAAAGAAAAUCACCUUGACCAGAGAUUAUAUUAUUACUAUUCCUCCCCCAAUUUCUCUUGUGGGGAGGUUUUGCCAUGGUCAGAUCCAUGGGUUGGUUUCUGCCCUCUCUGUAAUGGAUGAAGGCAUGGGACGUGGUUCCUCAAAGUGGAAAGGUUUGCUCAUCCCCAGCGUUGUUGUGAAAUCUCUGCAGAUUUCAAUCUGGUGGGAAAGGGCUUUGGGAGGAGUUGAAAGGCCACAUCCCAGGGAUUUUAGGACAGGAGGUUUAAAGAAAAUCCGCAGACCCGUGUCCUCAAGGGGAUCUGGCCAAGCCCUGGGGUGUGCAGUGGGUUGCAGGGGCUGUUCCCGGGGCUCAGAGCACCCUCUGGCCGUGGCCACAUCCUCUGUCAAGGACAGAGUGGCAUUGGAAAGAGAAAUUAGGGAAAGGCGCCUGCUGAAAAGGCUGGCAGCAAGGCAGGGAGGCCUGGGGAGCGGAGGCAGCAGAAGACCUGAAAUCCCCCGAGGGUUUUUGCUGGUUUAAACCCGCGGAUGAUCCGAGCUGUAAGCGAUAUCGCAGUGGGCUGGGUGAGCCGGUUGGGUUUCGCUGCGAUGCUCUUUGGGAGCUGGUCUGCACAGGGCAGGUCUGAGGGCUGCUAACGGAGGGGGGGAGCCCCCCUCCUGCACCCAAGGGGAGAAGAAGGGGGUGGGCACAGGGCUGGGUCCCUGCUGCAGGGCCAGACUGUGCCCUGCUGCCCCCAGCCCCACUCCUCGGCAGCCUCCCAAAGGUGUGCUGAGCUGAGCUGGGUCUCUGCACCGGCACGCUGCAGUGACUUAUGCAAUAUAGAGCUCUUAAUGGGAUUUUGGAGUGUGUGUGUAUACGGGCAUGUGUAUGUGUGGUCCUGGUUAAUUCUCCGUUCCCUCUGGGAUCUGCAGACUUAACGUGCCUUGCUCUCCAGCCUGAGCUUGCCAUGAAAAGCCAGUCAAAACGGCAGCUGUCACCUCCCAUAAAUCAGCAGGCAGCGGGUUUUUGUUGCUCCCUCUUUAAAGAAGCCUCAGUACUUGCCCUUGGCCUUGGAAUGCCCUUGCAGGGCCCCCCAGGCUCAGAGCUGCCCCCCACACCUGGGCACAGGGCUUAACCUCGCUGGUGGGAGCAGCCGCCUUGCUUUAGGGGUGCACCCCCUUCCUAAGGGCACCACGGAGCCUCUGAUGGUUUGGGUGGCGGGACACAAGCCGCAGGCAGGCAGGUCCCAAGCUCUGCCCAUCGCGCUGCCUGAAGCUGGAGAGGAGGCGUGGGGGGCCCCGGCUCCCCCCACGCCACAAGCAUGCCCACCCCUCGGUUUUCCUCGCCACAAAACUCCGGGGCGGGGGGGGGGAGAAGGGCACCACGCAUGACGGCCCCCUCGCUCUGUGCCCACCGGCGGCUCCCUGUCCUCAUCCCAGACCCGUUUGCAGGCGGCGAGCCCCCCGGCCCCCCGCGGUCGCCCCGUUUGCUCGCUCGCGUGCAUGCCCCCGCGCCGCCUCCGCUCCCACCUUCACCAUGUGCCUUCUGGUCUCUCCUGCCACGCAGCCGCCAGGCCGGACUCCUGCCCCAUUAACAUUGAGGAAUAGGCACAGAGGCAGCCAACAACAAUGUGUGGCUGCGGCCGGCGCCCUGGCCCCGCCGCCCCCCCGGCACCCGAGACCUGGAGCAGG
Molecule: RNA transcript, 5357 nt
Organism: Tyto alba (common barn owl)
Lineage: Eukaryota; Metazoa; Chordata; Aves; Strigiformes; Tytonidae
Gene: RNF157
Gene name: ring finger protein 157
Exons: 21
Source: RefSeq, a predicted model, not a curated record